This 1447-nucleotide long non-coding RNA is filed under the name Triticum aestivum (bread wheat). RNAcentral's name for it is "long non-coding RNA (TAES_LNC010496)". Lineage: Eukaryota; Viridiplantae; Streptophyta; Magnoliopsida; Poales; Poaceae. The record is from RNAcentral.
UCCCCCAAUUAGUUGUUGUGGCUUUGGUGUUUAGCUUUGCCCCAAUUGGAAUUGAAGGAUUUCUAACUCCAUGGUUCCUUGUUAGUGUUUGUCUUUGCCUUUUCUUUUUAUUUCUCUUCGUCAAUGUUAGUAAUUUAAAUUCUGCCUACUUUUUUGGUGUUUGCCUUUGCCAUUUCCUUUUUAUUUCUCAUUCCCUAUAUACAUUUUUUUCUUCAUAUCAUUCUUCCUUGUUGCAGCUGUACUUCCCUGUAACCAUUCGAAAGCAUUGGUUUUCUUUCUUCAUUUGUUUAAAGGGAGGAGCCUUUGCUUUCCUUGAUCCAGCUUUCAAUGAACAUUCUAAAUUUCACUUGCUGAUUAGCGAUCUGCUAGUACAUUUUUAAUCAAUUUGUUUCCCUUUUAUAGGCACUGUGUUGUUAUCUUUUAAGAUUUAUCUCUUGUAUUUUCUUUUAUUCGAACGGAUUAUAAACUUUAUAGGUGUUUUCUUUUAUUCUUGUAUUUUUCUAUUAGGGUUGCUUUUAUUACUCCCAUAUUGGGAAACAAAUCAAUUUUGAAAAAAUUGACGUUAUCUACCUAUAGUUGUUCCCAACCAAACUAAUAGGUAAUUUGUUUUUUUAGUAUAGCUGGCCUGAUUUUCUCUUAUAUUCUUCUGUUGAUUUUGUUGGUAUCUUUUUUUUCUUCCUUUAUUCAUGUGAAACGAGGCACGCAAUUGCGGUAUCUUUACAUUCAAGUUUAUGGAAGUGUGAACUACAAGGACUCAAGUUGUUAACCAUUUUUCAAGCACUGGCAUCCUCAACUUAAGGACAAAGUAUGCUAAUGAUAAGUUUUUUAGCGAGUUCAACAGGGUGGAUAAGUUCUUGACUUCUUGUUACUGAUUUCUUUGAUGAUGUAAGCACUUUUGUUUUCUAUACUACAAAUUUAUAGUAAAGAGGUUCAUGAUUUCCAGUAUAUUUUUAGUUCUACUUUUGGCUCAAGGUUGCCUAAUUUACUGUACUCGUCUACAUCAUUCACUGUCUCUUGUACUACGUAUUUUCAGCUUUUUGGCUCAGUGUUAAUUGCUUCCCUUUGUGCUAUAUAUCUUAAUGAUUGGUCUAAUGUUGGUUUGAUCUUUUUUUUCAGACUACAAAUUAACAAUGAUGGACAAGAAGGCCUUUUUAGCAUUAGAGAGAUGUUGAACUGCUUUUUUCACAACGGAUAGGGCAGUGUGUAUGUUGGUUCAGUGUGUGGUCAUCUGUAUGAUAGGAAGUGUGUAUGUUGGUUCAGCUGUUUUUUCGUUUCGGAAAGGAGGAUUGCCCCCGGCCUCUCCGUUGCAAUGUUGGUUCAUCUGUGUCUCUAUGAUCCAUAGAUGACACGAGGUACUAUACUUGCAAGGUUUUCUUACUGUAAUUUCAAGGUUUUUCACUUGCUUGUCAUGAAUGCAAAUGGGUCCAGUCCAACCCGCGUACAUACA